Molecule: long non-coding RNA, 1126 nt
Organism: Homo sapiens (human)
Lineage: Eukaryota; Metazoa; Chordata; Mammalia; Primates; Hominidae
Source: Ensembl
AACUGACAAGUGAGAAGAUGAGAGGGGGGAUGAAUAGAUGCUGACAUAAUGAUAUUAUAUGGAGAAAAAGUCAUUUUUUAAAGAUCACAAAAGGAGAAGCAGGUUCCAGGAUGAACCACAAAAACAGUAACUCAACUUCUGUCCUGGGCUCUUUAUAUUAAAUCUCACCAGAAACCCAUUUUACAGGUGGGAAAAGCUUGGUCCACCUCAGCCUUGGGCCCAUGCUUUUAUAUCUAGUAUUAACAUUCAUUCUGGAUGUGUAGAAGUCUCUGCCCUCUUUCAGACAACAGUUACUGCUAUGGUUUGAAUGUAUGUGUCCCUCCAAGAUCCUCAUGUUGGAAUUUAAACCCCAAGGUGAUGGUAUUAAGAGGUGAAGCCUUUUGGAAAGUGAUUAAGUCAUGAUGGCUCUGCCCUCAAGAAUACAUUAGUGCUCUUAUAACAGAAGUUGAAGGAACCCCCCUAGUGCCUUUUGCCUUCUCCAUUCCACAAUGUGUGGAUAUAACAUUCUGCCAUAUGAGAAUUUAGCAAAAAGACACCAUCUUGAAGAAGAGACAACCUUCGCCAGACACCAAAUCUGCUGGCACUGUGCUCUUGGACUUCCUUAUCAAUUAAUGAUUCUAUGGUAUUUUGUUAUAGCAAUGGGAACAGACUAAGACAGUUAAAGAGCGACACACUUGCAUUGAGUGUAAAAGGAGGGAAACUUACAGUCCUUUUAAGCAGAAACCAAGCAAGUUGCUAGACAGCUGGCUGGUACAACUGGAAGAUGAGGGGGGUGGUGUGCAUGAUGGUUACUAAGGAAAAACCAGCAACAGAGGGACUUCUCCUAAAGUCCAUCAUGCCGAACUUUGAUCCAUUUGAAGAUGGCAGUGAAACACCUCAGAACUUUGUUUUGUUUUCUUUACAACUACGCAUGCCUGCUUUCAAGAAGCUUUGGCCCUCUCAGGGAGAUUUCCCUGAGACAAACAAUUUCCCAUGGGAAACAAAAAAUGGGCCUUGAUUAGUAUUCAGGGUCUUAUUUUUUAGAUUGAGUUUACAAAGCUGAAGAGGUUGAUGCCCUGAAGUGUGAGAAACUGACCCCUCAAAAUCAAAAUAAAUUCUUGCAAGCAGCUGCCACAUUAACUCAAAA